AUAUAGGCUGGAAAAAUUUCGAUACAUGCUAUAUUUAUUUUUGGGUUAAUUUCAUACAGAUCCCUACAAACAUAGUGAAUUGUAAAAAUAUUCAUAUAAAGUUCAACUUUUAUAUGUUCUUUUUGUAAAAGUUCUAAUAUUUUCAAAUAUGUUCCCGUCGUUGGAAUCUGUUAAAAAACUUUAGUUAUAUAAUAAUAGAUUAAGUACUUAAUCCUGGUUAGUUUAUGAAAUACUUGAUAUUUUUACCCUCUUAUAUUAUACUGUUGUGGUUUUUAGAGGGACAUAUUUGUGUUAGCAAAAUUGACAUUUCACUUAAAAUAUAAACAAUUCUAUAACGAUAACAAACUAGAGGGAUAUAUUUGAAAAUAUUAGAACUUUUGUAGAGACAUGAAAGUUGAACUUUGUAGGGAUAUAUGUAUAACUCAGUAUAUUUGCAGGGAUCUAUA
RNAcentral lists this long non-coding RNA (446 nucleotides) under Ananas comosus (pineapple). RNAcentral's name for it is "long non-coding RNA (ACOM_LNC005165)". The record is from RNAcentral. Lineage: Eukaryota; Viridiplantae; Streptophyta; Magnoliopsida; Poales; Bromeliaceae.